Molecule: ribosomal RNA, 351 nt
Filed under: Triticum aestivum (bread wheat)
Lineage: Eukaryota; Viridiplantae; Streptophyta; Magnoliopsida; Poales; Poaceae
Description: partial small subunit ribosomal RNA
Source: RNAcentral
AUGAUGAGUUUAUGUUUGCAUUUGUUAGUAACUUUAGGUUUGAGCAAACAUAACUGCUUUCAAUGCCUAUCCAACAGCAUACAGGAAAAGAAUACAAUCAUAAGGCUGAUGCUGCUUAUCAACAUCCUUGUACACAAUACCCCAGAAGGAUUUGUAGGUAGCCUUUUCGAAGUGAAUUUUACAUAUCUUUGCCAAGCAAGAGGUUUGACAAGAUCUCUAUCACCCAUGGAAACACCACCAGAAGUAAGGAUUAUAUCAGCAUCAGAACAUAGAGCUGCAUCCAUAUGCUCCACAAGACUUCCUUCGGUAUCUUUUGCAAUACCCAAGUCAACCACUUUACACUUCUGCUGA